GGGUUGUGAGGUUAAGCGACUAAGCGUACACGGUGGAUGCCCUGGCAGUCAGAGGCGAUGAAGGGCGUACUAAUCUGCGAUAAGCGCCGGUAAGGUGAUAUGAACCGUUAUAACCGGCGAUACCCGAAUGGGGAAACCCAGUGUGAUUCGUCACACUAUCAUUAACUGAAUCCAUAGGUUAAUGAGGCGAACCGGGGGAACUGAAACAUCUAAGUACCCCGAGGAAAAGAAAUCAACCGAGAUUCCCCCAGUAGCGGCGAGCGAACGGGGAGGAGCCCAGAGCCUGAAUCAGCAUGUGUGUUAGUGGAAGCGUCUGGAAAGGCGCGCGAUACAGGGUGACAGCCCCGUACACAAAAGCGCAUGUGCUGUGAGCUCGAUGAGUAGGGCGGGACACGUGGUAUCCUGUCUGAAUAUGGGGGGACCAUCCUCCAAGGCUAAAUACUCCUGACUGACCGAUAGUGAACCAGUACCGUGAGGGAAAGGCGAAAAGAACCCCGGCGAGGGGAGUGAAAAAGAACCUGAAACCGUGUACGUACAAGCAGUGGGAGCCCCACCACCAAAGCAUUUGCUGUACCGCGUUGACGGAGCGAAGCGACGUCAAACCGAUAAAACAGCAGUGUAAAGU
Molecule: ribosomal RNA, 625 nt
Filed under: Salmonella enterica subsp. enterica serovar Enteritidis
Lineage: Bacteria; Pseudomonadati; Pseudomonadota; Gammaproteobacteria; Enterobacterales; Enterobacteriaceae
Description: partial 23S ribosomal RNA
Rfam family: Bacterial large subunit ribosomal RNA
Source: RNAcentral